GCCUGAAUAGCUCAGUUGGCAGAGCAGCGCAUUCGUAAUGCGAAGGUCGUCGGUUCGACUCCGGCUUUGGGCA
RNAcentral lists this transfer RNA (73 nucleotides) under Estrella lausannensis. It matches the Rfam family "tRNA". From Rfam's summary of the family: Transfer RNA (tRNA) molecules are approximately 80 nucleotides in length. Their secondary structure includes four short double-helical elements and three loops (D, anti-codon, and T loops). The record is from Rfam by way of RNAcentral. Lineage: Bacteria; Pseudomonadati; Chlamydiota; Chlamydiia; Parachlamydiales; Candidatus Criblamydiaceae.